Molecule: long non-coding RNA, 1135 nt
Filed under: Heterocephalus glaber (naked mole-rat)
Lineage: Eukaryota; Metazoa; Chordata; Mammalia; Rodentia; Bathyergidae
Description: lncRNA (ENSHGLG00100050834.1)
Source: RNAcentral
AGUUCCGUUGCGCACGCGCGCUCCCGGCUGGAGGGGGUGGCUCAGUAGCCUGAGGGGCGCACGCGCAGUAGCUCUUGCCUUGAGCCACAAACAGGGAGAAAUGGCCCUCCACCCAGCUGUCUGCGUGUUUCCAAGCAUGACCGCCCUACUCCCUGGACCAUGGAAAUGGCCAGAUCUUGGGCCUCGGAGGAGUCGGACAGGGCCGGACACCUGGCCGGGUCCUUAGGAUGCAGCCUGGAGAGAGGCAGAGCAGACGGGUGCUUCUUCAGGUUCGCAGAGCUGGAAGAUGUCUGGAGGACUACAACGACUUGACCCCGGCCCACCUGCUGCGCUGAACCCUUGUCAGUCAAUUCUCAGUUCCCACUCACACGGACUUGCUAAUCACCGGCUAAUGUGGGUCCAUGGCUCCAGUGAUAGUGGAAAUUAAAAUGCGGACUUCAGCAAGAGUUUAUAUAAAAAAAGCUUUAAUUGGAAAAUAAGAGAAGAUGAAGGGGAAGGGGCAGGCUCUGACAAUAUCAAGUCAGCCCCCUAACAAAGGAAAGUGAGAAGAGAGAGGGAAAGGGCUUCAGGUUGAGGGCGGGCAGGGGGUGCAGGUCGGAGGAGGUGGAUUGCACUGGCCUGCCUGCAAAGGAAGUGGGACCCCUUUUGUGGGGCAAUGUGGUGGGCGCACGGGACUGUGGCCUCGUCCUCGCUUCAUAGCUCCAGUGGGACCCUCACGGUUUGAGGGCAAUUUUCUUCCUGUGAGGCGAUUGUCCUUGUUUGGGAGGUGGCAGCUUUGGUUUUAGUCGUGAGAUGACUGCCUCUGCUGGGGAGGUGAUCUUAUCAUGGAGUAGCUACGAGGCUCUGCCUUUCUAGGAACGCGAUUACAGGCUUAGGACGCUGUCCGGAGACUUCUAGGCGUUGCUUGUGGUGUGGAACUGGAUGUUAUAAAGGCUGAUAAUUGGAUGCUCCUGCAAAUCCUGGAAAUUAAUUACACUUAUCUGGGCAUCCUCAGUCUUGAAGAGGGAUGAGAUAGGUUAGGUAUUUUUAGGGUUAAUAACCUUUAUAAUGCAGACACUCACUAAGCAAUUAACAUGCUUCUGUGUGGAGCCAAACAAGGGUCUGUCCCAAAGUUUUAAGGCAAUAAAAGAGACAU